Molecule: long non-coding RNA, 1328 nt
Filed under: Struthio camelus australis
Lineage: Eukaryota; Metazoa; Chordata; Aves; Struthioniformes; Struthionidae
Description: lncRNA (ENSSCUG00000001091.1)
Source: RNAcentral
GCCCAGCCCCAGCCGCGGCCCAGGCUGCGCCCAGGCCCGCCGCGCUGCCGCCCCGGCGUCCGGGCGUUGCUGGCGCCCUGGAGCACCAUUUCCAGGUGCGCUUCCACACGAGCCGCAUGUUCGGCUGCCUCCCCUGCGUGCGCUAUCCCCUGUGCCUCAUCCGCGGGUUGGGACGCCUGGAGCACCGGUGCAGGUGCUGUUACCUCGUCCUGCUGGCCGUGCUGCUGGCGGCCGAGAUGCUCAGCCUGCUCCUCAUCUUCCUCCCCAUCGUCCUACUGGUGCUGCUCUUCCUCAUCCUCGAUAAAUAGCCUGCAUCCGGGAUGUGCUGAGCACAGGGAGAACAGUCUGAGCGGGCUCUGUCCCACUGGGAGCGGGAGCAACUGCCCUCCUGCCUUCGCUCUCCGUGGAGCUGAUCUGCCUGAGAGCCAGCCUGUGAACCCAGGUGUCUGGGAAACCUCUCCACUGUCAGUGAGCCCAGAGCAGGUUUGUUUUUUGCUUUUUGGCAGCAAACUUACCCCUCCAGAUGCCCUAGAGAAAGCAAGGCUGUACACAGGAUGCUGCCACCCUGCCAACCCUGCUGCAUCCCCACAGAGACUGCUGAGGCUGGCACUGGUUAUGCCAGAGCCCCUGGGCUCCACUCACCUGGAGAAGGGACUAUGGCCAGGACCGUGGCCAGGAGCUAAACUUUGCCUUGGGCCCCCCCUUGCCUUGGCCAGCUGAAUUGCCCUGCUCAGCCCAGGGCUGUGCAGGAGCUGGACGGUUGUUUCGGAGGCAUAUGACGGGCAUCAGACCCAGCGCAGUGGCUGCGUGGCCGUGACCCUGAGCUGUCCUGCAGGACAUCGCUGUGGAGCCCGGGGGUUCCCCUCAAGCCCCAUGCGGACAGGGCCCCAGAGAACGGGCACAACUCAAUGCCUUUAUUAACAUGUAGUGGCCUGGAAGGGGCGGCCUGGGACACAUGGGAGAAAACAAGAAUCCUCCAAAACGAGGAUAAACUGGAGCUUUCCUCAAGGGCCUGCGGAGAAAACGGGCCGCGUGUCUGCUCGUAACCGAGGGGCCAGUGCAACGGCUUGACUUGGCUACACCGACUCAGACGCAUGUUGGAUUGGCCACCAAGAUGAAAGCUUUGGCAAAUAACUUACAGAGAAGAAUGGGCAGUUGGGGGCCUGUCCUCGAGCCCACUCCUGUCCCGUGCUGGCCGGGUGACCCCACACAGCGCCGUGCACUUCCAGGGCUCUUCAUCUCAUUAUCAGCCCGUCUUGGGUGGCCUCGCUGGCCACAGGAUGACGGAGAUGGUGUCACUGGCAGGUCACCGGUGGGGACCGAGCAUC